RNAcentral lists this transfer RNA (77 nucleotides) under Catenibacterium sp. AM22-6LB. Its description in RNAcentral is "tRNA-Met". It matches the Rfam family "tRNA". From Rfam's summary of the family: Transfer RNA (tRNA) molecules are approximately 80 nucleotides in length. Lineage: Bacteria; Bacillati; Bacillota; Erysipelotrichia; Erysipelotrichales; Coprobacillaceae. The record is from RNAcentral.
GGCGGGAUAGCUCAAUUGGCUAGAGCAUUCGGUUCAUACCCGGAGUGUCGGGGGUUCAAAUCCCUCUCCCGCUACCA